GGCAGACGGGAGAGUAACACGUGGGAACGUACCCUUCGGUUCGGAAUAACCCAGGGAAACUUGGGCUAAUACCGGAUACGUCCGUAAGGAGAAAGAUUUAUCGCCGAGGGAUCGGCCCGCGUCCGAUUAGCUAGUUGGUGAGGUAAUGGCUCACCAAGGCGACGAUCGGUAGCUGGUCUGAGAGGAUGAUCAGCCUCACUGGGACUGAGACACGGCCCAGACUCCUACGGGAGGCAGCAGUGGGGAAUAUUGGACAAUGGGCGCAAGCCUGAUCCAGCCAUGCCGCGUGGGUGAUGAAGGCCUUAGGGUUGUAAAGCCCUUUCGGCGGGGAAGAUAAUGACGGUACCCGCAGAAGAAGCCCCGGCUAACUUCGUGCCAGCCGCCGCGG
This 388-nucleotide ribosomal RNA is filed under the name uncultured bacterium. Its description in RNAcentral is "bacterial SSU rRNA". It matches the Rfam family "Bacterial small subunit ribosomal RNA", at positions 97 to 520 of the family's 1533-position model. The record is from RNAcentral.